GAAAUGCGAUAAGUAAUGUGAAUUGCAGAAUUCCGUGAAUCAUCGAAUCUUUGAACGCACAUUGCGCCCUCUGGCAUUCCGGGGGGCAUGCCUGUCCGAGCGUCAUUACGCACCCUCAAGCCCGGCUUGUGUGAUGGGCCCUGGCGUCUCGUUCGCGAGACGGGCCCGAAAGGCAGCGGCGGCGUCGACCCGAUGAGCGCGAGCGUAUGGGGACUUUUGUCACACGUUUGCGGUGCGGACCGGCGCCUGCUUGACUUUUCUGAUUAUCCAGGUUGACCUCGUAUCAGGUAGGGACACCCGCUGAACUUAAGC
This 312-nucleotide unclassified non-coding RNA is filed under the name plant metagenome. RNAcentral's name for it is "partial contains 5.8S ribosomal RNA, internal transcribed spacer 2, and large subunit ribosomal RNA". The stretch from base 1 to 105 matches the Rfam family "5.8S ribosomal RNA", at positions 50 to 154 of the family's 154-position model. The record is from RNAcentral.